AUUGAACGCUGGCGGCAGGCCUAACACAUGCAAGUCGAACGGUAACAGGAAGAAGCUUGCUUCUUUGCUGACGAGUGGCGGACGGGUGAGUAAUGUCUGGGAAACUGCCUGAUGGAGGGGGAAAACUACUGGAAACGGUAGCUAAUACCGCAUAACGUCGCAAGACCAAAGAGGGGGACCUUCGGGCCUCUUGCCAUCGGAUGUGCCCAGAUGGGAUUAGCUAGUAGGUGGGGUAACGGCUCACCUAGGGGACGAUCCCUAGCUGGUCUGAGAGGAUGACCAGCCACACUGGAACUGAGACACGGUCCAGACUCCUACGGGAGGCAGCAGUGGGGAAUAUUGCACAAUGGGCGCAAGCCUGAUGCAGCCAUGCCGCGUGUAUGAAGAAGGCCUUCGGGUUGUAAAGUACUUUCAGCGGGGAGGAAGGGAGUAAAGUUAAUACCUUUGCUCAUUGACGUUACCCGCAGAAGAAGCACCGGCUAACUCCGUG
This 490-nucleotide ribosomal RNA is filed under the name uncultured bacterium. Its description in RNAcentral is "partial 16S ribosomal RNA". It matches the Rfam family "Bacterial small subunit ribosomal RNA", at positions 30 to 507 of the family's 1533-position model. The record is from RNAcentral.